AUGCCUCAGCUCCUGGAGCAGCACAGCAGCAUGGUUUGACUAACUAACAGAAUGUGUUCAUUCAGUGUGGCAUCCAGGAGACACUUAACACUUUGCUACUGAACUGAUGCCAGGGUGUAGAGUCAGAAAGUCUGUCAAAGGAGAUGUUGUCCUAUGCCAAUUGGUGUAUACUUUCCUUCUUGCCCACGCCUGGCCAGAAAUAAGAGCAGAUAGAAACUCUUAAUACUAUUAAGUAUCUUUUAAUUAAGAGCUUUGUUUCAAAAUAAAGUACUGGAUGGAUAUUUGGAUGUGUGAGAGACCCAUGCUACAGUGCUGAUGAAGGGUUUCAGACAUCCUGUGCCUUCCUACUGAAAGAUAAGCUUUAAUAUAAUCAACAGGAAAACACAGACCUCAGCAGUAGAUCUGGACACAUGGUACUGCUUUCUCUUUUCCUGUUUGUCAACUCAAAAGGCUUACGCCUGACAUCAUCUUAAAAAAGAAGUAUGCCUUUUCAAUUGCUUAUUUAAGGAUGAAGUACUUUCAGAAGAGAUUGAACCUGGUGCUCAUACGAUAAAACUGAGGGAGAAUUAAACUUCUGAGAUGAAACCAGGGGAAGAAAAGCCUAACGAGUCCAGAGUUUGACAUCUUUGAAUAUCCAAAGGCUCCUAGUCCUUCAGUCUUUUUUCUGAAGAAUGUGUGGUGCAGCUUUUUCACAUGGAUGCCUAGGAUGUUUGCAUACCACAGAAAGACUAAUUCUUGCAGCAUGUGCUGUGUUACAUUUCUUGUGAUGCAGUACCAGGUUCUCUGUGCUCCCUGCUCCUCCUCUCCUCCACCAGUGGCCCUGAGGCCUCGUCGCCAUGCGCCCCGCCCGGCUUGCUCUGUGACAGGAGCUGCAGCUUCUCAUCAGCUAGUCUGAGAAGGAAGCUGCAGACGUUCACUGUGACAAUGGUUAACACUGCAGUCAGUGAUGAAGAAAAAGGAGCUCAAGAGAAGGAGAGCAAGGAGGAAUCCAUACUGGCCAUGCUUGGUAUAAUUGGAACCAUCCUUAAUUUAAUUGUAAUCAUUUUUGUGUACAUCUACACAACACUAUGAACUGGACAAAGUCAAGACAUUACCAAGAGGACUGAUGCUUAGAUGGAUACUAAAUGGAUACUAGGUUUUGUCUUCUUGCUUUAUUAAAAUUUACCAGGACUGUGUAAUUACACCAUAAAACAUUACCUUGCCUAUGGGCACAGUGGUGAGAAGCACAAAAGAGUUUUGAGACUUCAUUUCUCAAAAUGAAGAACUGGCCCCUUCAAAGCUUAUUGCAUUGUUCCUAAAAACACAUAGCUCAAUGGCUACAAUACAUUCUAUUUCAGAUGGAAAAUAUGUACCAUCUUUUCAGUUAUCAGUUUUGUUAAUAAUAAAGGAUUCUGAGGUAUAAAAAUAUAUUUUUACACAAGAAUAUCAAAUGAUAUUAAUUGACUGAGAACGAAAGUUAUAAUGCCUUGACUCUUCUUGAAGUAAAUCCCUGUAUGAAUAUUAUACUGUAUAUACUGUACUAAGCAAAAUCUAUGGACUAAAUAGUACCCAAGAGGCACACAUUAAAUUAUUUGAAGGAGUUUGAUAAAAUGUGCAAUGAAAUGAUAUGGUCUAAAAUUGAUUCAGGUGGAGAAAUCAAACCAUACUGUAAAUACUAAAAUUGUUCAGUGUUAAAUGUUCUCUUUUUUAAAAGAAAAUAUCUAAAUUCCACUUAAAAAUAUAUAAAGAUAAUUUAUGAUAUUUAAAAUAACUGGGAUCAUUAUAAUGGUAAAGAGGAAAUUUUUAACACUUUCUUUUUGGUGUUUUGUGUUACCGAAGACACACAUUGAAACACAAAUGGAAAGGAUUUCAAGUAUUUUGACUUUAAUAAAAAAUGUGAGGUUUAUUUCUUAAAUGAUGGGACCCUCUUAAUUUAAACAGAACAUUUUGAAAACCACUGCGAUAAAAUUCUUCAUUACGCAAUUUAGGGAACUGCCAGUUGGAACUGAUCAUUAUUCUGCCUUAAAAUAGAAACUAACUGUAUAUCUUAUCUGGAAGAAGACUUAGAAGACCAAACUUAAAAACCACAAAAUAGUGUAACGCAGGAUGGUAUUUCCAACAGUUUUCCUUGAAAUUUGUUCAAAGUUGGAUAGUUUUUUAAAUGUUUCAUGUCUUUGUGUGAAAUAGUCCACAAAUUCUGAAUUUAUAGACUGAAAGAAGACACAUUGAAAAAACAAAAUUGUUAAAAAAAUAAAAUUCACAAGCUUUUGAAUUAGGAUCUGACACCUCAGCAGUGGUUCCUUCACAGAAUAAUCACUGAAUAAUCAUAUAAUUCAGACCAUGUAUUAGCUUUUUAAAUACUUCCACCAAAUACUUUGAGGCAAGACAAGUUCUGAACAGGAUUCACUGAAAAUCAUGACCAACAUAAAUAGUGCCAACAUAAUUAAACAGCUGACAGAAUAUUUUCAAAAAUUCAGUAAAUUAUUGAUCAUCUUGGCUGUUUGGAUUAUGCAAACCAAAUUGGUCAUUUAAAUAUUAGUGUUAUUUUCCCAUGUUCUAUAAAUAUGCUUAGUAUUUAAAAUGUGAUCAAUGUGGCAAAAUACACCAUUUUUGUUAAAGCCGAAUUGGCCACAGUUUUGGGCCAGGUUUACAUUUUGUCUUGUCUUAAAGUGUCCUUGAAUAAUUAGGCCUAGUGACUUAAAUGCUCUUGUAUGCAGAUGUUGGGGUUUAUUCCCAUAAUCCUUAGGCAGGCUGGUGACGUAAUCUACUGUACUGGUGAUAAUCUACUGAGGACAUUAAAGAGUUUUUAAUUUUGCAUGA
Non-coding RNA from Lepisosteus oculatus (spotted gar), 2799 nucleotides. NCBI's taxonomy places the organism in Eukaryota, Metazoa, Chordata, Actinopteri, Semionotiformes, Lepisosteidae. The record is from RefSeq and is a predicted model, not a curated record.